GUCCCUGUGCUGGAACUCAAGUGAGAGUUGGCUGAAAAUCCAUUGCUGUUCUCUAGAAAUCCAGCCCAAGUCUCUUGGUUAGAGAUAAGAUUCCAUUUUGGAUGCUUCCAUCGGGACUGUGUGCCCCUGUCCUGGAACUCAGCUGAACACUUGGCUCAAAAUCCAUUGCUGUUCUCUGGAAAUUCUGCCCUAAUCUCUUGGUUAAAUAUAAGAAGGCGGAGCCAGGUGUGCAGAGCGGAACGUGAAAGUGGACCAGGAGCGUGACCGCUGAAGCACAGCAUCACAGGGAGACGUUUAGGCCACCAGACGGCUGCGGGCGGGCUUGACUGAUGUCAGGCUUUCCACAAGAGGUGGUGGAGCAGAGUCUUCUCUAACUCCCCUGGAGAAAGGGAGACUCCC
Molecule: long non-coding RNA, 399 nt
Filed under: Homo sapiens (human)
Lineage: Eukaryota; Metazoa; Chordata; Mammalia; Primates; Hominidae
Description: HSALNT0398680
Source: RNAcentral